AACGUAGGUGGCGAGCGUUAUCCGGAUUUACUGGGCGUAAAGGGUGUGCAGGCUGCCCCUCAAGUGGUGUAUGAAAGGGCUCGGCUCAACCGGGCUAGGUUAUGCCAGACUGAGGGGCUAGAGAGCGAGAGCGGGACGUGGAAUUCCGGGUGUAGUGGUGAAAUGCGUAGAGAUCUGGAGGAACCCCAGAGGCGAAGGCGGCGUCCUGGCUCGCACCUGACGCUCAGACACGACAGCAUGGGGAGCGAACGGG
RNAcentral lists this ribosomal RNA (253 nucleotides) under uncultured bacterium. Its description in RNAcentral is "partial 16S ribosomal RNA". It matches the Rfam family "Bacterial small subunit ribosomal RNA", at positions 524 to 776 of the family's 1533-position model. The record is from RNAcentral.